UGGGGAAUUUUGCUCAAUGGGGGAAACCCUGAAGCAGCGAUGCCGCGUGGAGGACGAAGGUCUUCGGAUUGUAAACUCCUUUUGCAGGGGAAAAACGGCCCGGUGAAGAAUCGGGAUUGAUGGUACUCUGCGAAUAAGCCACGGCUAACUUUCGUGCCAGCAGCCGCGGUAAGACGAAGGUGGCGAGCGUUACUCGGAUUUACUAGGCGUAAAGCGUGGGUAGGUGGUUCGGCAAGUCUGUUGUGAAAUUUCCCGGCUUAACCGGGAGGGGCCAAUGGAUACUGCCGGACUUGAAUGUGGGAGGGGUGACUGGAAUUCCUGGUGUAGCGGUGAAAUGCGUAGAGAUCAGGAGGAACACCAAAGGCGAAAGCAGGUCACUGGACCACUAUUGACACUCAUCCACGAAAGCUAGGGGAUCAAACAGG
RNAcentral lists this ribosomal RNA (425 nucleotides) under uncultured bacterium. RNAcentral's name for it is "bacterial SSU rRNA". It matches the Rfam family "Bacterial small subunit ribosomal RNA", at positions 355 to 776 of the family's 1533-position model. The record is from RNAcentral.